CUUUCUCCCUGACACCAUGUGAAGAAGGUCCUUGGUUCCCGUUCACUUUCCAUCAUGAUUGUAAGUUUCCUGAGGCCUCCCUAACUGUGCAGAACUGCCUUUCUGUUCCCUGAGACACAACAAUAUUGAAAUUAGGCCAGUUAAUAACCUACAAUGGCUCUCCCUCUCCCUCUCCCUCUCCCUCUCCCCACGGUCUCCCUCUCCCUCUCUUUCCACGGUCUCCCUCUGAUGCCGAGCCGAAGCUGGACUGUACUGCCGCCAUCUCCGCUCACUGCAACCUCCCUGCCUGAUUCUCCUGCCUCAGCCUGCCGAGUGCCUGCGAUUGCAGGCGCGCGCCGCCACGCCUGACUGGUUUUCGUAUUUUUUUGGUGGAGACGGGGUUUCGCUGUGUUGGCCGGGCUGGUCUCCAGCUCCUAACCACGAGUGAUCUGCCAGCCUCGGCCUCCCGAGGUGCCGGGAUUGCAGACGGAGUCUCGUUCACUCAGUGCUCAAUGUUGCCCAGGCUGGAGUGCAGUGGCGUGAUCUCGGCUCGCUACAACCUCCACCUCUCAGCCGCCUGCCUUGGCCUCCCAAAGUGCCGAGAUUGCAGCCUCUGCCUGGCCGCCACCCCAUCUGGGAAGUGAAGAGCAUCUCUGCCUGGCCACCCAUCGUCUGGGGUGUGAGGAGCCCCUCUGCCCGGCUGCCCAGUCUGGGAAGUGAGGAGCGCCUCUUCCUGGCCGCCAUCUCGUCUAGGAAGUGAGGAGCGUCUCUGCCCAGCCGCCCAUCGUCUGAGAUGUGGGGAGCGCCUCUGCCCCGCCGCCCCGUCUGGGAUGUGAGGAGCACCUCUGCCCGGCGACGACCCUGUCUGGGAUGUGAGGAGCCCCUCCGCCGGGCAGCCGCCCCGUCUGAGAAGUGAGGAGCCCCUCCGCCCGGCAGCCGCCCCGUCUGAGAAGUGAGGAGCCCCUCCGCCCGGCAGCCGCCCCAUCUGAGAAGUGAGGAGCCCCUCCGCCCGGCAGCCGCCCGUCUGGGAAGUGAGGAGCGUCCCCACCCAGCCAGCCGCCCCGUCCGGGAGGUGGGGGGCGCCUCUGCCCGGCUGCCCCUUCUGGGAAGUGAGGAGCCCCUCUGCCCGGCCGCCACCCCGUCUGGGAGGUGUACCCAACAGCUCAUUGAGAACGGGCCAUGAUGACGAUGGCAGUUUUGUCGAAUAGAAAAGGGGGAAAUGCGGGGAAAAGAUAGAGAAAUCAGAUUGUUGCUGUGGCUGUGUAGAAAGAAGUAGACAUAGGAGACUCCAUUUUGUUCUGUACUAAGAAAAAAUCUUCUGCCUUGGGAUGCUGUUGAUCUAUGACCUUACCCCCAACCCAGUGCUCUCUGAAACAUGUGCUGUGUCCACUCAGGGUUAAAUGGAUUAAGGGCGGUGCAAGAUGUGCUUUGUUAAACAGAUGCUUGAAGGCAGCAUGCUCAUUAAGAGUCAUCACCACUCCCUAAUCUCAACUACCCGGGGACACAAACACUGCGGAAGGCCGCAGGGUCCUCUGCCUAGGAAAACCAGAGACCUUUGUUCACUUGUUUAUCUGCUGACCUUCCCUCCACUAUUGUCCUAUGACCCUGCCAAAUCCCUCUCUGCGAGAAACACCCAAGAAUGAUCAAUAAAAAAAUAAAUAAAAUAAAAUAAAAUAAAAUAAAAUAAUAAAAAAGAAAAUAUGGUGUCCUGAAAAUGCUAUGUGUAUGAGUGAGAAUUGAGUUAUUUUGAAGUGGUUUUUGAGUAUUUCCUUAUGAAAGUCAAAUAAGGGAAAUAAUUCAGUAAUAAAAAAAUUUAUUUCCAUGCUUAAAAAAAAAAAUAACCUACAAUGACCUCUAAGUGUUCAAGUGAAAGGAAGAGUCCCAUGUCUUUCACUUUAAAUCAAAGGCUAGAAAUGAUUAAGCUUAGUAAGGAAGGCAUGAUAGGAUGAAAGCCAGACAUCUUGUACGAGUUAGCCAGGUUGUGAAUGCAAAGGAAAAGCUCUUGAAGGAAAUGAAAAGUGCUACUCCAGUGAAUACAUAAAUGAUAAUAAAGCAAAACAGCCUUACUGCUGAUACUGAGAAAGUUUCAUUUACCAUUCUCAAAAUCCUAGAGCUGAGAAUUAUGAUCAGUUGCUACCACCUGUGCUCUACAACAAAGCCUGGAUAACAGCACAUCUCUUUACAGCCUCGCUCACUAAAUAUUUUAAGCCCAGUAUUGAGACCUACUGUUCAGAAAAAAAGAUUCUUUUCAAAAUAUCACUGCUCAUUGACAAUGUAGCUGGUCAACCAAGAGCUGUGAUAGAGAUGUACAAGGAGAUGAAUGCUGUGUUUUCAUGCCUGCUGACACAAUAUACAAUCUGCAGCCCAUGGAUCAAAGAGUCAUUUCAACUUUCAAGUCUUAUUUCUUAAGAAAUACAUUUCAUAAGGCUAUAGCUGCCAUAGAUAGUGAUUCCUCUCAUGGAACCAGGCAAAGUCAAUUGAAAACUUUCUGGAAAGGAUUAACCAUUCCAGAUGCCAAUUUGUGAUUCAUGGAAGGAGGUCAAAAUGUCAACAUUUUAACAGGAGUUUGGAAGAAGUUGAUUCCAACCCUUGUGGAUGACUUUGAGAGGUUCAGGACUUCAGUGGAGGAAGUCACUGCAGAUGGGGUGGAAAUAGCAAGAGAACUAGAAUUAGAAGCAGAGCCUAAAGGUGUGACAGAAUUAUUGCAAAUUCAUGACAAAACUUUAACAGGAUGAGGAGUUGCUUCUUAUGGAUGAACAAAGAAAGUGGUUUCUUGAGAUGGAAUCUACUGUUGAAGAUACCGUAAGCAUUGUUGAAAUGGCAACAAAGGAUUAGAAUAUUACAUAUACUUAGUUACUUAGCUGAUAAAGUAGUGGCAGGAUCUAAGAGGGUUGAAUGUCUUUUUUUUUUUUUUUUUUGAGACGGAGUUUCACUCCUGUUGCCCAGACUGGAGUGCAAUGGUGUGAUCUCUGCUCACCGCAACCUCCGCCUCCCAGGUUCACAUGAUUCUCCUGCCUCAGUCUCCCGAGUAGCGGGGAUUACAGGCAUGUGCCACCAUACCCAGCUAAUUUUGUAUUUUUAGUAGAGACAGGGUUUCUCCAUGUUGGUCAGGCUGGUCUUGAACUCCCAACCUCAGGUGAUCCGCCCACCUCGGCCUCCCAAAAUGCUGGGAUUGCAGGUGUGAGCCACCACACCUGGCCGUUGAUGUCUUAUUUUAAGAAAUUGCCACAGCCAUCAUCAGUCAGCAGCCAUCAACUCAAAGCAAGGUCCUCUACCAGCAAAAAUACUGCUACUUGCUGAAGGGUCAGAUGAUUAUUAGCAUUUUGUUUUAAUAAAGCAUUUUUAAAUUAAGAUACGUAUGUUGUUUUUCUUUAGACAUAAUGCUAUUGCACACUUAAUAGACUAUGGUAUAGUGUAAACAUAACUUUCAUAUGCACUCGUUAACAAAAAAAUUCAUGUGACUUGCUUUAUUUGUUUUAUGGCAGUGGUCUGGAGCCACACUGUAAUAUUUUCAAGGUUUGCCUGUACAUCAGACUAUUUGAUCUUGCUCCACAGUUCUUGGAUGCUCUGUCCUGUUUCCCCACCACUACUCUCUUUUGCUUUGUCUGUUUAGAUACUUGCUAUUGACCUCUUUUCAAGUUCAUGAAUUCUUCAGCUGUAUCAAGUUUGAAGAAAUCCGCUAUCUCUGAUAUUGUAGACUUUUUUUUUUUUUUUGACACAGAGUCUUGCUCUGUUGCCCAGGCAGGAGUGCAGUGGCACGAUCUCAGCUCACUGCAACCUCUGCCUCCCGAGUUCAAGCAAUUCUCAUGCCUCAGCCUCCCGAGUAGCUGGGAUUAUAGGUAUGUGCUACCACGCCUGGCUAAUUUUUUGUAUUUCUAGUAGAGCUGGGGUUUCCCCAUGUUAGACAGGCUGGUCUCAAACUCCUGGUCUCAAGUGAUCUACCUGCCUCGGCCUCCCAAAGUGCUGGGCUUACAGGUGUGAACCACAGUGCCUGGCCAAGCUUUUUAUGUGUAUAUAUCUGGUGUUUCCAUUUUGCCCUUUUUUACCCACUUCUCUGCUGAAAUUCACUAUCUGUUUGUUAUUUCCCACCUUUUCCACCAGAUAUGUUAAUAUAUUAACUGAUUGUCUUAAGGUCUGCUAGUCCCAACCUCUGUUUCAUUUCUGAAUUGGAUUUUGUUGGUUUUUGAUUGAAUGCCAGACUCAUGUGUAUAACAGAAGGAAUAAGGUAGAUUGUGUUACACCUGGAAAUGCACACACUUCUGUCAAACUGAUAUAGUUUGGAUGUCUGUCCCUUCCAAAUCUCAUGUUGAAAUGUGAUUCUCAAUGUUGGAAGCAGGGCCUGGUAAGAGGUGUUUGGGUCAUGGGAGGGAUCCCUCAUGAGCAGAUUAGUGCCCUCUUUGGGGUAAUGAGUUCUUCAUUAGUUCACGUGAAAGCUGGUUUUUUAAAAAGAGCUUGGGCCAGGCACGGUGGCUCAUGCCUAUAAUCCCAGCACUUUGGGAGGCCGAGGUGGGUGGAUCACUUGAGGUUAGGCAUUCGAGACCAGCCUGGCCAACAUGGUGAAACCCCAUCUCUACUAAAAAUACAAAAAUUAGCUGGGCUUGGUGGCGCAUGCCUGUAAUCCCAGCUACUCAGGAGGCUGAGGCAGGAGAAUCGUUUGAACCCAGGAGGCAGAGGCUGCAGUGAGCUGAGAUGGUGCCACUGCACUCCAGCCUGGGCGACAGGCUGAGAUGCUAUCUCAGUAAAUAAAUAAAUAAAUAAAAUAGAUAAAUAAAUAAAAAGAACUUGGCAUCUCUCUUGCUCCUGCUCUUGUCAUGUGACACAUCAGCUCCCCUUUCCUUCUGCCGCAAGUAAAAGCUUCCUGAGGCCUAACCAGAAGCAAAUGCUGGCACCAUGUUUCUUGUAUAAUCUGCAGAACCAUGAGCCAAAAUAAACCUCUUGUCUAUAAAUUAUCCAGCCUCAGGUAUUCCUUUGUAGCAAUGCAAAAUGGACUAACACAGAGACCAUUAGUUUGGAAAUUGUGUCAAUGUAGACACCAGUUUUUAGGGGUUUGGGUUGGAUUAAUGCUGUCACUAUCUUCAGUAUACUACAGGCUUCAAAUUCUUCCAGUGGUUGACUGCUGUUACCUUAUGCUUACAGUGCACCUGGAGUACAGGAGGACUUUUCUGAGUCCCACCCUCAAUUUUCAGGGAUCCCUGUAUGCCUACACCACAGAGAGGAUCUAUAUUUACACCCUUGCUGCUUCCUCAACAGACUGGUUUUCCUUGUUACUUAGUGCUAGGCUUAUAGCAGAGACAGGGGGUUUUUUGUCCUUGGCUAGCCUCGGUCUUAGGCAGGCUUUGUGUGCCUGGCCUUCAGGGAUGUGGCUUUCUCAACAUUCCUGCACCAUUUCUCAAUAGUAGUCAAAAUCUGUUUCAAAUCUAUUGUUGGUCUUGUGCAACAAUUUCAUGCUCAUUCCCCACUGGGAGCAGACCUCUUUAUGUUAUCCAUGUGGCUUCCUGGGCCCAGAUUUUCUGCCUAUCCUCCAAGGUCAAUUUUUGCUUCUACUCUUCCAGCAGUAAUAUUGUUUUCCUGUGUCCUGAAGGCAGAACAUUUCCUACCUCUCUCUCAAAAGCAGAUGGGUUUUGUCUACAUUCCUACCCCAGAGCAAUGAAUUUCUGCCUGGGCCCUAGGAAUGAUUGUUGUUCCUCCCUACAAUAGCCUAAGGCUUUUGCAUCAUUCAAGAGAAGAGCUUGAAAGCAGGCAGAAUUUCAUGGCAGCCAACUACCUUCUGUUUGCUUAAACCACCUACUGAGACUUUCUGGUUCCACACCCUGCUUCCAGUCUUUCUUAAGUCCUGGUGUAGGCCCUUGGGAAAGAACUUGUGAGUGUGUAUGAAGUUCCCUUAUUUCAGAUUCUUGGCUAUUCCAAACUGGUAUGCUAGCCCACAUGUACACUUUAGGAAUUUCUUAAAAUUUUUGCCAAUAUUUUACCUGUUUAUAUAAAGGCCAUCUCUUUCUCUUGGGUUCUUCCUAAGGUUAAACAGUCAGUAUGUCCCAUCUCUCCUUGUAGGGCUUAUCACUCUUUGGGAUUUGGUUUGUUUGCCUUGUAAUUUCAGUUCUUUGAUAUGUUCAAGAAAAAAAGCUUUAAUUUUAUAGAUGACCCAGCCUUUUCUCCUUGUUAAAAUGGGAAUGACAGUCUCUUGAGGUUUUCCACAUCUUCUUGAGAAGCAGAGCUCUGACUACCUCUACUAAAGUUAGUUGAUUUUCUGUUACUCUCUUGUCAGUAUCAUUUCCAUCACUGCACAUAUUAAAAUUAGUAAUUUUUUUACUUUGUCUCCUCCAUUAGACUUUAAUCCUAUAAAAACAUAUACUACAUCGCUUCAUUGUUGUAAUCUAUUAUACCUAGCACCAUAAUUGUACAUAUAGUACUCAAAACUAAUACAUACGACAGGUAUUCAUAUUUUCAAAAACCAAAAACAUUAACCCAACAUACAGAAAAUACUGUUAAAAAACAUCCAUGGAAAUAUUGAUGAACAGAGGGAGAGGAGAGGCAAGAGCCCAAAUGCAAACUGGGAAAUUGUAUUCUGAACCAUCAGUUAGGUUUUAAUUUAUAACCUGCCUGGAGACUGUCUACAGUGUUGACUGAGUUCAAAACAUAAAGCACAAAUAAGAAAAGUAUACCCCAAACCACACUUCUUUAAUUAAGCUCUAAGAAAAACUCAAAUAAAUGAAAUAGUAAAACUUUGAUCAGUAAUUCCUUAUUGUUUAUUCUCCUCUUACAAAAAGACACUUGGGACAAAUAAAUACAAAAUGGCAUAUAUCAUAUUUAGCAAUGGGCAAAUACACAUUUUCUUGGUAUUCUCCACAAGAAUAAACUAAUAAAAUUUUCAGAGGCAUACUCUUCUACCCAUCUCUUACCCUCUAAAAAAAAAAAAGGCAAUUAUUUUAAUUCCCUGUAAUUUUUAACAAUGAAUUCUCAAAAUAAGUAAUCUAGGACUAUUCAGGGACCAAGACAUCUGAAUCAACAAGUUAAAAAAAAAAUGUCUGUAUACACACACACACACACACACACACACACACACACACGAUGUUGCC
RNAcentral lists this long non-coding RNA (7052 nucleotides) under Homo sapiens (human). Its description in RNAcentral is "HSALNT0296389". Lineage: Eukaryota; Metazoa; Chordata; Mammalia; Primates; Hominidae. The record is from RNAcentral.